GGAGGGGGGAGGGGGAUGUUUGCCCGGAAACCGGGAAAGGGAAUAACACUCGAAAUGUAUAUAAGAAAUACUCAAGUUAAUAAAAAAAAAAAAAAAGUGUUGCUGUUUUCCUACCCUCAUAUUUCAGGGAAUAGUUUUGUUCCCGCUUACCUUUCCUGCACUCUUGUCACCCCCAUUCAGACAGCUGGCCUACUUCUACCACCUGUUGUCUGGUCCCCUAACAGAACUGCAGAUCUCUUCCCCAGCUAGAGAACCCUGCCUGCUGCUCCUAAGUUGGGGUGUGUUUGCGAGUGUGCAUUCAUGCAUGUGCUGCUGGUGCUGCUGGUGAAGGAGUUGGGUUUUCAUUUUUUGGGGGGGGUGGUUUUUUUGUUUUUUUGGUGUUUGUUUGUUUGGUAUCUGUUUUCGAGAACAAUCAGCACUUAGAAUUGUUACACCAUGCUUCCCAAAAUAAUUUCAUCUCAGUGUUUAAUUCCUAUGAGUCUACUUUUACUGGUACCAUCAAGUGAAGAAGUGCCAAAAGCAUCCCAAUCUUCAUUGGUUGGAAGUUACAGGCUGUUUCCAAAAACAAAUAGUUUCUUAUGUUGUAUAAGAAUUUGGGGUUGGGGAUUUAGCUCAGCGGUAGAGCACUUGCCUAGCGAGCGCAAGGCCCUGGGUUCGGUCCCCAGCUCCGAAGAAAAAAAAAAAG
RNAcentral lists this long non-coding RNA (685 nucleotides) under Rattus norvegicus (Norway rat). RNAcentral's name for it is "long non-coding RNA NONRATT019268". The record is from RNAcentral. Lineage: Eukaryota; Metazoa; Chordata; Mammalia; Rodentia; Muridae.